This 223-nucleotide ribosomal RNA is filed under the name uncultured Gammaproteobacteria bacterium. Its description in RNAcentral is "partial 16S ribosomal RNA". It matches the Rfam family "Bacterial small subunit ribosomal RNA", at positions 30 to 241 of the family's 1533-position model. The record is from RNAcentral. Lineage: Bacteria; Pseudomonadati; Pseudomonadota; Gammaproteobacteria.
AAUUGAACGCUGGCGGCAGGCUUAAACAACAAUGCAAAGUCGAGCGGAAACGAAGAGGAGCUUGCUCCUUUGGCGUCGAGCGGCGGACGGGUGAGUAAUGCUUGGGAAUAUGCCUUUUGGUGGGGGACAACAGUUGGAAAACGACUGACUAUACCGCAUAAUGUUUACGGACCAAAGCGGGGGACCUUCGGGCCUCGUGCCAAAAGAUUAGCCCAAGUAGAGA